RNAcentral lists this ribosomal RNA (301 nucleotides) under uncultured bacterium. Its description in RNAcentral is "partial 16S ribosomal RNA". It matches the Rfam family "Bacterial small subunit ribosomal RNA", at positions 509 to 808 of the family's 1533-position model. The record is from RNAcentral.
CAGUAGCCGCGGGAAUACGUAGGUCCCGAGCGUUGUCCGGAUUUAUUGGGCGUAAAGCGAGCGCAGGCGGUUAGAUAAGUCUGAAGUUAAAGGCUGUGGCUUAACCAUAGUACGCUUUGGAAACUGUUUAACUUGAGUGCAAGAGGGGAGAGUGGAAUUCCAUGUGUAGCGGUGAAAUGCGUAGAUAUAUGGAGGAACACCGGUGGCGAAAGCGGCUCUCUGGCUUGUAACUGACGCUGAGGCUCGAAAGCGUGGGGAGCAAACAGGAUUAGAUACCCCUGUAGUCCCUGUCUCUUAUACC